AUCGGGUCCCGGUUCCGGACCCAGAGUCAUCUACCCUUCGCCAUCACCAGCCCGUGUCGGCAGUCAUGCCCCCUCUCCCCAUCAUCAGUUAAUUAGCCGGACAAUGCUUUCCUUCAAGCCAUUCGUGAUAUCUCCACUCUGCUAUUAGUAAUUUACUGCAAGCGGACUUAACUCUUCAGAAUAAUCAAAUGGAACAGACGACGAAAACACUGCCAAAGUUAUUGCCAUUCGCAGGGGGAUCAAAUACGAGUCUGCUUCUGACGCUGCCUGUUGCUCGGGGCGAGGAUGUGCGUUAUAGAACGGACUCACUCUUAUGAUGUGGGCGUGGUCUCGCCCGUAGCCGCUUCUUAGCCUAUCCUUCGGGAUAGCGCCGGUUCGUUAGCUUAGCUUUUAUUUAUUCGUUUCGAGUCGCUUGUAUGUUUAAAGAUUACAUUUCUGUACCUCGGCACAACUGAUUUUACACGGGCUAUUUAUUUUUAUUGGGCCCCAUUUUAAAUGC
This is a long non-coding RNA of Drosophila montana, 499 nucleotides long. RefSeq lists it as uncharacterized. The record is from RefSeq and is a predicted model, not a curated record. NCBI's taxonomy places the organism in Eukaryota, Metazoa, Arthropoda, Insecta, Diptera, Drosophilidae. The transcript has 4 exons.